RNAcentral lists this unclassified non-coding RNA (372 nucleotides) under Hevea brasiliensis (rubber tree). The record is from RNAcentral. Lineage: Eukaryota; Viridiplantae; Streptophyta; Magnoliopsida; Malpighiales; Euphorbiaceae.
AGAAAAUUGAAGCCUAAAAAUUGCAUCCACAUCAGGCAGAGCUUUUCACAGUAAGCUCAGAAUGUCAUGGAGAAGCAACUAUAAAGGACAAAGUAGAGACCAAAUAUAAGUGUGUGACUUGGAGUGGAGAGUUUAUGUGAAAAUGCUGAAAGGAAUAACCAUUAUCCAAAUCUCUCCUCCAAAGAACUUUCUUUGGCAUCAACAAUUCAGAAUGAGGCUUAUAUAGCUAACAUCCCUCCUGAGCAUUUAUUAGUUCCAUUAGAGAAAGAAAAAUAUAAAAGCUUGAAAAAAGUAAUUAUAAUCAUGUUACACUCCAUCAUCAUCUUUCCAAAGUAAUCCAGCUUGUAAAAGACUAUUAAGGCAUUUUUAGUG